Molecule: ribosomal RNA, 468 nt
Filed under: uncultured bacterium
Lineage: Bacteria
Description: partial 16S ribosomal RNA
Rfam family: Bacterial small subunit ribosomal RNA
Source: RNAcentral
GACGAACGCUGGCGGCGUGCUUAACACAUGCAAGUCGAACGGAAAGGCCCUGCUUUUGUGGGGUGCUCGAGUGGCGAACGGGUGAGUAACACGUGAGUAACCUGCCCUUGACUUUGGGAUAACUUCAGGAAACUGGGGCUAAUACCGGAUAGGAGCUCCUGCUGCAGGGUGGGGGUUGGAAAGUUUCGGCGGUUGGGGAUGGACUCGCGGCUUAUCAGCUUGUUGGUGGGGUAGUGGCUUACCAAGGCUUUGACGGGUAGCCGGCCUGAGAGGGUGACCGGCCACAUUGGGACUGAGAUACGGCCCAGACUCCUACGGGAGGCAGCAGUGGGGAAUAUUGCACAAUGGGCGGAAGCCUGAUGCAGCAACGCCGCGUGCGGGAUGACGGCCUUCGGGUUGUAAACCGCUUUCGCCUGUGACGAAGCGUGAGUGACGGUAAUGGGUGAAGAAGCACCGGCUAACUACGUG